GUGAAGCGAAAGUAAUGAGUCGUGGAGGCCCGAACCUUUCACUGUUACAAAAGUUGUAGGAUGAGCUGUGGGUAGAGGUGAAAUGCCAAACGAACUUGGAGAUAGCUGGUUCUCCCCGAAAUAGCUCUAGGGCUAGCCUCGGGAAGUGAGUGGCGGAGGUAGAGCACUGGAUUGACUAGGGGGCGUAGAGCUUACCAAACCAAACCAAACUCCGAAUGCCGCCAUAUCGUAUCCCGGGAGUCGGACGGUGUGAGAUGAGUUUCAUCGUCGAAAGGGAAACAGCCCAGAUCGCCAGCUAAGGUCCCUAAGUACAGGCUAAGUGGUAAAGGUUGUGGGAUUACUUGGACAGCCAGGAGGUUGGCUUAGAAGCAGCCAUCCUUCAAAGAGUGCGUAAUAGCUCACUGGUCGAGUGAUCCUGCGCCGAUAAUAUAGCGGGGCUCAAGCCUGACACCGAAGCUGCGAGAUCGGCUUUGCCGAUCGGUAGGGGAGCGUUCUGCUCGCUGCGAAGCUAGACCGUGAGGACUGGUGGAGCGUGCAGAAGUGAGAAUGCUGGCAUGAGUAGCGAGAAACGCGUGAGAAACGUGUUCGCCGUAAGUCUAAGGUUUCCUACGGAAGGUUAAUCCGCGUAGGGUUAGUCGGUCCUAAGCCGAGGCCGUGAGGCGUAGGUGAUGGACAACAGGUUAAUAUUCCUGUACCACGUCCGAUCGAUAAAGACACGAUGGGGGGGUGCGGAAGGGUAGGUCAGCCUGGGGUUGGUUGAAGCUCCUGCGGGAGCGCCAGGUGCUAAGCCUGUAGGGAGAUGAAGGCGGUAGGUAAAUCCGCUGCCCGAUCCCGAGGGGUGAUGGCGGUGCCUUUUAGGCCACAAGUGAUUGAGCCCAUGCUGCCGAGAAAAGCCUCUAGUGAGAUCGACGUGACCGUACCGCAAUCCGACACUGGUAGACGGGUUGAGUAUACCAAGGCGAUCGGGAGAACCCUCGUUAAGGAACUAGGCAAAAUGGCUUCGUAACUUCGGAAGAAGGAGCGCCUCGGUAGGGUAAGGCAUAUCCAUGUCCGAGCCCGAGGAGGUCGCAGUGAAGUGGCCCUGCCGACUGUUUAACAAAAGCACAGGUCUCUGCUAAAGCGUAAGCUGAUGUAUAGGGGCUGACGCCUGCCCAGUGCCGGAAGGUUAAGGGGAGAGGUUAGCGGCAACGCGAAGCUUUGAACCGAAGCCCCGGUGAACGGCGGCCGUAACUAUAACGGUCCUAAGGUAGCGAAAUUCCUUGUCUGGUAAGUUCAGACCCGCACGAAAGG
This 1290-nucleotide ribosomal RNA is filed under the name bioreactor metagenome. RNAcentral's name for it is "bacterial LSU rRNA". It matches the Rfam family "Bacterial large subunit ribosomal RNA", at positions 745 to 1999 of the family's 2925-position model. The record is from RNAcentral.